This 292-nucleotide ribosomal RNA is filed under the name uncultured Pseudomonas sp. Its description in RNAcentral is "partial 16S ribosomal RNA". It matches the Rfam family "Bacterial small subunit ribosomal RNA", at positions 113 to 408 of the family's 1533-position model. The record is from RNAcentral. Lineage: Bacteria; Pseudomonadati; Pseudomonadota; Gammaproteobacteria; Pseudomonadales; Pseudomonadaceae.
AUGCCUAGGAAUCUGCCUGGUAGUGGGGGACAACGUUUCGAAAGGAACGCUAAUACCGCAUACGUCCUACGGGAGAAAGCAGGGGACCUUCGGGCCUUGCGCUAUCAGAUGAGCCUAGGUCGGAUUAGCUAGUUGGUGGGGUAAAGGCUCACCAAGGCGACGAUCCGUAACUGGUCUGAGAGGAUGAUCAGUCACACUGGAACUGAGACACGGUCCAGACUCCUACGGGAGGCAGCAGUGGGGAAUAUUGGACAAUGGGCGAAAGCCUGAUCCAGCCAUGCCGCGUGUGUGA